UGCAUGGAUUGCUACAUUGACAUGCUCAUUACGCAUUGACAAGCUCAUGGCUGCUAAUACCCCAUAGGCUGAGGAGCAAAAGGAGGAAUUCGCUAGAGGGGAGGCUCACGUCUGAUUUAGCUAGUUAGUGAGGCAAUAGCUUACCAAGGUGAUGAUCAGUAGCUUGUCCGAGAGGAUGAUCAGCCACACUGGGACUGAGACACGGCCCAGACUCUUAUGGGAGGCAGCA
RNAcentral lists this ribosomal RNA (229 nucleotides) under Prunus dulcis (almond). RNAcentral's name for it is "rRNA SSU_rRNA_eukarya". It matches the Rfam family "Bacterial small subunit ribosomal RNA", at positions 148 to 353 of the family's 1533-position model. Lineage: Eukaryota; Viridiplantae; Streptophyta; Magnoliopsida; Rosales; Rosaceae. The record is from RNAcentral.